CAGGUAUCAUCAGGUAUGGCGAAAACCCUUUUAUGGAACCAGCAGUGAGAGAGAAGAAUACAGGAAGGAGUUGCGUGACCAGUUAAAGAGGCAAAUAGAGGAGAAAUGUGUUGCACUGAGGCUGCAGCUGGCAGGUAAAGUGAAGGAUGCAGAGUAUUCACGUGAAGUAGACUGCCUCGCCCUGUCCAGUGAAAGAGAGCAAAGGAUCCAACACAUCAAAGCUAUGUCAGCAUACAGAGAUGAAAACAAGAAGCUAAUGGAGCAGAGCUGGAGGGACAGAGCACUAACACGGUCCCAGGAGGCCAUGAAGGAGAGAGAGCUGCUGCGUCUCAACCCCAUCAACUGGAGUGGAACACUGAAAUAGGUUGAACCUUAACAUCCAGAGUCACAACUGCAGACUCCAGCCUCGCUGUAGCUCAUCGAUGUGCAUGAGUGUCGGAUGAAAAUGGGAUGCAACAUGAACAGUAUAUGUAAUCAGUGUUGUGAUAACCACUGAAGAAAUUUCGGAGAUAUUUCUGUUUUCUAAAGCUCCUGGGCAUUUUUAUGUUUUUCCAUUUUAAUCAUAUAGGUUCAUUUAUUCACAGCUUUGGAUUCCAAUUCAGUCAGGUGUUUCAUUGACUUCCUACGUGUCCUAUAAAUUAUGACGCAACAUGAAAUUGUACAAACUAAUUAUACAAGCUAGAAACGUGUUGCUG
Molecule: long non-coding RNA, 695 nt
Organism: Scomber scombrus (Atlantic mackerel)
Lineage: Eukaryota; Metazoa; Chordata; Actinopteri; Scombriformes; Scombridae
Exons: 3
Source: RefSeq, a predicted model, not a curated record